Molecule: ribosomal RNA, 253 nt
Filed under: uncultured bacterium
Lineage: Bacteria
Description: partial 16S ribosomal RNA
Rfam family: Bacterial small subunit ribosomal RNA
Source: RNAcentral
UACGAAGGGGGCGAGCGUUGUUCGGAAUUACUGGGCGUAAAGGGCGCGUAGGCGGCCCUGGAAGUCAGGCGUGAAAGCCCCGGGCUCAACCUGGGAAUUGCGCUUGAUACUCCGGGGCUCGAGUUCGGGAGAGGAGAGUGGAAUUCCCAGUGUAGAGGUGAAAUUCGUAGAUAUUGGGAAGAACACCGGUGGCGAAGGCGGCUCUCUGGACCGAGACUGACGCUGAGGCGCGAAAGCGUGGGGAGCAAACAGG